This 440-nucleotide ribosomal RNA is filed under the name uncultured bacterium. Its description in RNAcentral is "partial 16S ribosomal RNA". It matches the Rfam family "Bacterial small subunit ribosomal RNA", at positions 338 to 795 of the family's 1533-position model. The record is from RNAcentral.
CCUACGGGUGGCAGCAGUGGGGAAUAUUGCACAAUGGGGGAAACCCUGAUGCAGCGACGCCGCGUGAGUGAAGAAGUAAUUCGUUAUGUAAAGCUCUAUCAGCAGGGAAGAAAAUGACGGUACCUGAGUAAGAAGCCCCGGCUAACUACGUUCCAGCAGCCGCGGUAAGACGUAGGGGGCAAGCGUUAUCCGGAUUUACUGGGUGUAAAGGGAGCGUAGACGGCAGUGCAAGUCUGGAGUGAAAGGCGGGGGCUCAACCCCCGGACUGCUCUGGAAACUGUACGGCUGGAGUGCAGUAGAGGUUAGUGGAAUUCCUAGUGUAGCGGUGGAAUGCGUAGAUAUUAGGAGGAACACCAGAGGCGAAGGCGGCUAACUGGACUGCAACUGACGCUGAGGCACGAAAGUGUGGGGAGCAAACAGGAUUAGAUACCCUUGUAGUC